This 123-nucleotide small nucleolar RNA is filed under the name Otolemur garnettii (small-eared galago). Its description in RNAcentral is "Small nucleolar RNA SNORA25 (ENSOGAG00000022535.1)". Lineage: Eukaryota; Metazoa; Chordata; Mammalia; Primates; Galagidae. The record is from RNAcentral.
GGGUCACUUCAUAGAGGACUGUGUGACUGUGAAACCAGAAGCUCUGCUAAGAGCAGAGAAUGGCAUUUUAAUAGACUGCCGUAAUCAUUCAAUAGUGCUAUGUUUUCCUGAGGAGACAGAUGA